RNAcentral lists this ribosomal RNA (262 nucleotides) under uncultured bacterium. Its description in RNAcentral is "partial 16S ribosomal RNA". It matches the Rfam family "Bacterial small subunit ribosomal RNA", at positions 1244 to 1500 of the family's 1533-position model. The record is from RNAcentral.
GGGGUGCGACACGGUGACGUGGGGCGGAUCCCUGAAAACCGGUCUCAGUUCGGAUCGCAGUCUGCAACUCGACUGCGUGAAGGUGGAGUCGCUAGUAAUCGCGGAUCAGCAACGCCGCGGUGAAUACGUUCCCGGGCCUUGUACACACCGCCCGUCACACCAUGGAAGUCUGCAAUGCCCGAAGCCGGUGGCCUAACCACUUAUGUGGAAGGAGCCGUCUAAGGCAGGGCAGAUGACUGGGGUGAAGUCGUAACAAGGUAAC